GUACACGCUGUGACUAGCAUAUCAAUAAGCGGAGGAAAAGAAACUAACAAGGAUUCCCCUAGUAACGGCGAGUGAAGCGGGAAGAGCUCAAAUUUGAAAUCUUAAAGGGUUUCCCUUUACGAAUUGUAGUUUAAAGAAGUGUUUUCUGUUGAGGUUUUGGUAAAAGUUCUUUGGAAUAGGACAUCAUAGAGGGUGAGAAUCCCGUAUUUGACCUUUACUUUCAACCUUGUGAUACACUUUCAAAGAGUCGGAUUGUUUGGGAAUGCAGUCCAAAAUGGGUGGUAAAUUUCAUCUAAAGCUAAAUAUUGGCGAGAGACCGAUAGCGAACAAGUACCGUGAGGGAAAGAUGAAAAGAACUUUGAAAAGAGAGUUAAACAGUACGUGAAAUUGUCAAAAGGGAAGCGUUUGACACCAGUGUUGUUUUUCUGAAAAUCAAUUAAAGAACUGUUUAUGCUAAGUUGUUUAGACUUUAUCAGCUAACUGUUUAGUUUUGAGCUUUUCUUUAAUGCACUUUACAGUUAACAAGUCAACAUCAAUUUCUUUUGCUGUAAAAAAGCUUGAGGAAGGUGGCUUGAGAUUCGUCUUAAGUGUUUAUAGCCUCUUGCCUAUGCAGUCGGAGAGAUUGAGGUCUGCAGCGUAGAUCCUUCGGGGCUAAAUGCAUUUGUGCUAAGUUAUAGCAUUUUAUAGACAACUUGUUGACUAUGAUUUGUCUUGUAGCUUACUCGCUUAUGUUAUUUUACCUACGCUUAGGAUGUUGAGUCGUAGAGCACGCAG
This 774-nucleotide ribosomal RNA is filed under the name uncultured Neocallimastigales. RNAcentral describes it as "partial large subunit ribosomal RNA". It matches the Rfam family "Eukaryotic large subunit ribosomal RNA", at positions 22 to 628 of the family's 3401-position model. The record is from RNAcentral. Lineage: Eukaryota; Fungi; Neocallimastigomycota; Neocallimastigomycetes; Neocallimastigales.